This 465-nucleotide ribosomal RNA is filed under the name uncultured bacterium. Its description in RNAcentral is "partial 16S ribosomal RNA". It matches the Rfam family "Bacterial small subunit ribosomal RNA", at positions 339 to 795 of the family's 1533-position model. The record is from RNAcentral.
CUACGGGUCGCUCCAGUGGGGAAUAUUGGACAAUGGGGGAAACCCUGAUCCAGCAAUGCCGCGUGUGUGAAGAAGGCCUGCGGGUUGUAAAGCACUUUCGGUUGGGAGGACUGCUUCUAGCACUAAUAUUGUUGGAAGUUGACGUUACCUUCAGAAGAAGCACCGGCUAACUCCGUGCCAGCAGCCGCGGUAAUACGGAGGGUGCAAGCGUGAAUCGGAAUUACUGGGCGUAAAGCGCGCGUAGGCGGCUAGAUCAGUCGGGUGUGAAAGCCCCGGGCUUAACCUGGGAACUGCAUCCGAUACUGUCUAGCUUGAGUACAGGAGAGGAGAGUGGAAUUCCACAUGUAGCGGUGAAAUGCGUAGAUAUGUGGAGGAACACCAAUGGCGAAGGCAGCUCUCUGGCCUGAUACUGACGCUGAAGUGCGAAAGCGUGGGGAGCAAACAGGAUUAGAUACCCCCGUAGUC